Molecule: ribosomal RNA, 120 nt
Filed under: Helianthus annuus (common sunflower)
Lineage: Eukaryota; Viridiplantae; Streptophyta; Magnoliopsida; Asterales; Asteraceae
Also listed under: 1 other name
Source: RNAcentral
GGUUGCGAUCAUACCAGCACUAAUGCACCGGAUCCCAUCAGAACUCCGCAGUUAAGCGUGCUUGGGCGAGAGUAGUACUAGGAUGUGUGACCCCCUGGGAAGUCCUCGUGUUGCAACCCC